This 221-nucleotide unclassified non-coding RNA is filed under the name soil metagenome. RNAcentral describes it as "partial contains 5.8S ribosomal RNA, internal transcribed spacer 2, and large subunit ribosomal RNA". The record is from RNAcentral.
AACCAUUCUCACCUGCGGCUAGACCUGCGGAAGGAUCAUUACAGAGUUGCAAGACUCCCUAAACCAUUGUGAACCUACCUUCUACCGUUGCUUCGGCGGGCGGGCCCAGCGCCCCCCCCGGCCCCCCGCGGGCGCCCGCCGGAGGAUACCCAAACUCUUGACAUUAGUGGCCUCUCUGAGUAUUCUUUACUGAAUAAGUCAAAACUUUUAACAAUGGAUCU